Molecule: ribosomal RNA, 376 nt
Filed under: uncultured bacterium
Lineage: Bacteria
Description: bacterial SSU rRNA
Rfam family: Bacterial small subunit ribosomal RNA
Source: RNAcentral
UACGUAGGUGGCAAGCGUUGUCCGGAUUUACUGGGCGUAAAGGAUGUGUAGGCGGAUACUUAAGUGAGAUGUGAAAACCCGGGGCUCAACCCCGGGACUGCAUUGGAAACUAUGUAACUAGAGUGUCGGAGAGGUAAGCGGAAUUCCUAGUGUAGCGGUGAAAUGCGUAGAGAUUAGGAAGAACAUCAGUGGCGAAGGCGGCUUUCUGGACUGUAACUGACGCUGAGGCAUGAAAGCGUGGGGAGCAAACAGGAUUAGAUACCCUGGUAGUCCACGCCGUAAACGAUGAGUACUAGGUGUAGGAGGUAUCGACUCCUUCUGUGCCGCAGUUAACACAAUAAGUACUCCGCCUGGGAAGUACGGUCGCAAGAUUAAA